Non-coding RNA from Myodes glareolus (Bank vole), 392 nucleotides. NCBI's taxonomy places the organism in Eukaryota, Metazoa, Chordata, Mammalia, Rodentia, Cricetidae. The record is from RefSeq and is a predicted model, not a curated record.
UGAUCCUGGACCCAGCUGACCCAACAGGGAACGUGGCUGGUUUGAACUCAGAGGGCUGGCGGCAGCUGGCUGAAGAGGCUGUAGCCUGUCUGCAAUACGCAUGCCUUAAGAGAUGGGAUGGUUGCCUAGGGGGAUCUUGGAAUGUGCCGACCGAAGUUCCUGUGCCAGUGAGCAAGCCAGUGUGUAACAAUAACAGACAGGGUCUCUCUGUGAAGAUGGAACUUGAAGGGUAUCCAGCAGGUCCACAGAGAUUCUCCUGUCGCUGCCUCAAGUACAGUCUGGGUUAGAGUGUUCAACUCUACUUCCGGGUCAAGGCUUCUGCAGAAUUUCCUGGUGGACCUCAACAAGGAAACUUCCUCCAACCUUCCGAGGUACCUACCUGUGGCCUCCUC